Molecule: ribosomal RNA, 495 nt
Filed under: uncultured bacterium
Lineage: Bacteria
Description: partial 16S ribosomal RNA
Rfam family: Bacterial small subunit ribosomal RNA
Source: RNAcentral
GAUGAACGCUGGCGGCGUGCCUAAUACAUGCAAGUAGAACGCUGAAGGAGGAGCUUGCUCUUCUGGAUGAGUUGCGAACGGGUGAGUAACGCGUAGGUAACCUGCCUGGUAGCGGGGGAUAACUAUUGGAAACGAUAGCUAAUACCGCAUGACAACAGUUAUUGCAUGAUAACUGUUUAAAAGGGGCAACUGCUCCACUACCAGAUGGACCCGCGUUGUAUUAGCUAGUUGGUGAGGUAACGGCUCACCAAGGCGACGAUACAUAGCCGACCUGAGAGGGGGGUCGGCCACACUGGGACUGAGACACGGCCCAGACUCCUACGGGAGGCAGCAGUAGGGAAUCUUCGGCAAGGGGCGGAAGUCUGACCGAGCAACGCCGCGGGAGUGAAGAAGGUUUUCGGAUCGUAAAGCUCUGUUGUAAGAGAAGAACGAGUGUGAGAGUGGAAAGUUCACACUGUGACGGUAUCUUACCAGAAAGGGACGGCUAACUACGUG